AUUGAACGCUGGCGGCAGGCCUAACACAUGCAAGUCGAGCGGAGCGGCGGACGGGUGCGUAAUACCAGGGAAUCUGCCUGGUGGUGGGGGAUAACGUUCGGAAACGGGCGCUAAUACCGCUUCCUCACAGAUGAGCCUGGGUCGGAUUAGCUAGUGGGUGGGGUAAAGGCCAACCAAGGCGACGAUCCGUAACUGGUCUGAGAGGAUGAUCAGUCACACUGGAACUGAGACACGGUCCAGACUCCUACGUGAGGCAGCAGUGGGGAAUAUUGGGCAAUGGGCGAAAGCCUGAUCCAGCCAUGCCGCGUGAGUGAAGAAGGUCUUCGGAUUGUAAAGCACUUUAAGUUGGGAGGCGUUACCAACAGAAUAAGCACCGGCUAACUGCGUGCCAGCAGCCGCGGUAAUAC
This 407-nucleotide ribosomal RNA is filed under the name uncultured bacterium. RNAcentral describes it as "partial 16S ribosomal RNA". It matches the Rfam family "Bacterial small subunit ribosomal RNA", at positions 30 to 526 of the family's 1533-position model. The record is from RNAcentral.